Molecule: long non-coding RNA, 290 nt
Organism: Poecilia latipinna (sailfin molly)
Lineage: Eukaryota; Metazoa; Chordata; Actinopteri; Cyprinodontiformes; Poeciliidae
Exons: 2
Source: RefSeq, a predicted model, not a curated record
UUCAUGGGAGGCUUAUUAAUAAUCGAGGAAUAAAUAUCAAGCCUGGAAACCUGAUAUUGUAACGGACUGAAUGUUGUGUUUUUAAUGUAAUCCUUGCUCGGCUUGCGGGGGUGCAAGCGGUUGCCACGGCAACGGGUGUGCUUAAACGACAAAGAGACAGAGAGUAAAAAGGUAGGAGUGGUUUAGAGUUGAUCGUCUGUUCGGGUUGUUUGUCUAACGUUGCUGUGGCUCAUCAAUCACACCUGCUGCAGUUUCUGAACAUUCAAUAAACGACAAACUUGGACUAAUUA